CAAAAAUUCACUCAGUAAAAAUCUUAUAAAAAUGCUAUCAAAAGCUGUGGAUGCUUUGAAAUCUGAUAAGAAAGUACGGACCAUAAUAAUCAGGAGUGAAGUCCCAGGGAUAUUCUGUGCUGUUGACCCUUGAGCAACAUGAGAGGUUAGGAGAGAUGACACCUCCACCUGCACCCCUGCCCCCACCCCUCACAGUUGAAAAUCCUCCUAUAACUUGACUUCUCAAAAACUGAACUACUAAUAGUCUACUGUUGACUGGAGGCCUCACUGGUAACAUAAAGGGUUGAGUAACAAACAUUUUGUAUGUUAUAUGUAUUAUAUGCUUUAUUCUUACAGUAAAGUAAGCUAAAGAAAAGAAAAUGUUACUAAGAAAACCAUAAGGAAGAGAAAAUACAUUUACUAUCAAGUGGAAGUGGGUCAUCACACAGGUUAUCCUUGUCAUCUUCAUGUUGAGUAGGUUAAGGAGAAAGAGGAGGGGUUGUCUUGCUGUCUCAAAGGGGUGGCAGAGGUGGAAGAAAAUCUGUGUACAAAUAGACCUGAUGUUGUUCAAAGGUCAGCUGCACUUAAAUUUUAAUGUUUUCAUUUGAGCACGUCAGAGAUGCCGUUAAAAAUGACUCAGAGUACUCGUGCCCUUUCUGUGU
This 641-nucleotide long non-coding RNA is filed under the name Homo sapiens (human). Its description in RNAcentral is "non-protein coding lnc-NFIL3-2:1". The record is from RNAcentral. Lineage: Eukaryota; Metazoa; Chordata; Mammalia; Primates; Hominidae.